Long non-coding RNA from Drosophila novamexicana, 1097 nucleotides. RefSeq lists it as uncharacterized. The transcript has 3 exons. NCBI's taxonomy places the organism in Eukaryota, Metazoa, Arthropoda, Insecta, Diptera, Drosophilidae. The record is from RefSeq and is a predicted model, not a curated record.
UUAGACUUUUAAAAUUUGAUGUUUUUUUAAAAUUCGGAUUCCUAUUUUCUAUUUUUGCCAUACAAAUUUAGCCUUAGGCAUAAUCUAUGCAUAAAUAGACUUACGACUUAAAGAGACCUUAAGCAUUAAAAAGACAGAGAUUUGCAAAGAAUACUCAUUCUAAGGCAAGGCAAUCAAUAUACCCUUAAAUAAUGCCCAUACAAAGUUGUCUCAACCUUGAAAUAUAUGCCAUAUAAAGCUGAAUUUCGUUAGUUUUUGUUUUUGAAGCAAAGCUAAAAAGAAAACUCAACUUUUUUUUUUUGUUUUACUAUAUUUUGGAGCACUGCUUUUCGGCGCCUCUCUCAGCGAUUCUCAGGCUGCCAGCUGUAAAGCUCCGUCAGUUCUGUGCAAGAAGCAAGCUUUGAUUAAUUCCAUCAGAUUUUCCUGUCAACACGAAAUGCAACGCAAAGUGGAAACGCAAGAAUUGCCCCGGGGUCAAUGAAAUAAAACGCAAUUGCCCAGCGACCAACCAACCACCCCCCCUUCCCUCCAACGCAAGCGAUUGCAAAGGUAAGCAGAACUAAGCGCUGCCGGCGAGAGAGAGCGCGGCAGCAGCAGCGAUCGGAGCGCAGAGUCAUCAACACAACUCAUAGUAAAAAAGAGGUGAGUGGCAUAACAAGGCAAACAAACCGGCGGACGCAACAGAGCGACGCGAAGCAAACCAAAGCAAAGGCAGUGAAGCAGCAGCAGCAGCAGCAGCAGCAGCAGCAGCAGCAACGGCAGCGGCAGCGGCAGCGGCAGAGACACUCAAGCGGUUAGCCAGCCGCUCAGUGUGACAGUGAACGUCGUACGUCGUUGUGUUAUGGCAGCAGACGCAGUAAGCUGCUCGAGAAGAAAAAACCAGCAGCAACAACAACAACAGCAGCAGCAGCAAAACAACAGUAAUAGUUGUGCAGUGAAGAAAAAAGGCAAACGGCGCAUAAACUGUGCGACAAAGUGCAAGAAAUAAAAACAACAACAACAACAACAACUACAAUUCGAAGAGCAACAGUUGUCCACCACCUGAGAUCUCAUAUUCAACACAUCAAAAGCGCAAGAGGAAGCAGAUACCGCAAAUA